Molecule: small nuclear RNA, 22 nt
Filed under: Arabidopsis thaliana (thale cress)
Lineage: Eukaryota; Viridiplantae; Streptophyta; Magnoliopsida; Brassicales; Brassicaceae
Description: snRNA_04369
Source: RNAcentral
GGGAGAUGGUGGUGAGGUUAAG